This 441-nucleotide ribosomal RNA is filed under the name uncultured bacterium. RNAcentral's name for it is "partial 16S ribosomal RNA". It matches the Rfam family "Bacterial small subunit ribosomal RNA", at positions 338 to 795 of the family's 1533-position model. The record is from RNAcentral.
CCUACGGGUGGCUGCAGUGGGGAAUAUUGCACAAUGGGGGAAACCCUGAUGCAGCAACGCCGCGUGGGUGAAGGAGCUUUUCGGCGCGUAAAGCCCUGUCAGCGGGGAAGAAGAAAGACGGUACCCGACCAAGCAGCCCCGGCCAAAUACGUGCCAGCAGCCGCGGUAAUACGUAGGGGGCGAGCGGUAUCCGGAAUUACUGGGUGUAAAGGGAGCGUAGGCGGCGAGGUAAGCCUGAAGUGGAAGCCCGGGGCCCAACCGCGGAAAUGCUUUGGAAACUGUUGUGCUGGAGUGUGGGAGGGGUAAGCGGAAUUCCUGGUGUAGCGGUGAAAUGCGUAGAUAUAAGGAGGAACACCGGUGGCGAAGGCGGCUUACUGGACCAUAACUGACGUUGAGGCUCGAAAGCGUGGGGAGCGAACAGGAUUAGAUACCCCAGUAGUC